AGAACGAACGCUGGCGGCAUGCCUAACACAUGCAAGUCGAACGCUUCCGGGGCUUCGGUCGCGGAGGAGUGGCGCACGGGUGAGUAGCGCGUGGGAACCUGCCCUGUUGUGGGGGAUAACCGAGGGAAACUUCGGCUAAUACCGCAUACGCCCCGGGACUUGGUCUUCGGAUUAGGUCUGGGGGGAAAGAUUGAUCGCAGCAGGAGGGGCCCGCGUCGGAUUAGCUGGUUGGUGGGGUAACGGCUCACCAAGGCGAUGAUCCGUAGCUGGUCUGAGAGGAUGAUCAGCCACACUGGGACUGAGACACGGCCCAGACUCCUACGGGAGGCAGCAGUGGGGAAUAUUGGACAAUGGGGGCAACCCUGAUCCAGCAAUGCCGCGUGAGUGAUGAAGGCCUUAGGGUUGUAAAGCUCUUUUGUGCGGGAAGAUAAUGACGGUACCGCAAGAUAAGCCCGGCUAACUCGCGCCAGCAGCCGC
This 477-nucleotide ribosomal RNA is filed under the name uncultured bacterium. RNAcentral's name for it is "SSU rRNA". It matches the Rfam family "Bacterial small subunit ribosomal RNA", at positions 26 to 518 of the family's 1533-position model. The record is from RNAcentral.